This 301-nucleotide ribosomal RNA is filed under the name uncultured bacterium. RNAcentral's name for it is "partial 16S ribosomal RNA". It matches the Rfam family "Bacterial small subunit ribosomal RNA", at positions 509 to 807 of the family's 1533-position model. The record is from RNAcentral.
CAGCAGCCACGGUAAUACGUAGGUGGCAAGCGUUGUCCGGAAUUAUUGGGCGUAAAGGGCUCGCAGGCGGUUUCUUAAGUCUGAUGUGAAAGCCCCCGGCUCAACCGGGGAGGGUCAUUGGAAACUGGGAGACUUGAGUGCAGAAGAGGAGAGUGGAAUUCCACGUGUAGCGGUGAAAUGCGUAGAGAUGUGGAGGAACACCAGUGGCGAAGGCGACUCUCUGGUCUGUAACUGACGCUGAGGAGCGAAAGCGUGGGGAGCGAACAGGAUUAGAUACCCGCGUAGUCCCUGUCUCUUAUAC